Non-coding RNA from Bos taurus (domestic cattle), 72 nucleotides. The record is from Rfam. NCBI's taxonomy places the organism in Eukaryota, Metazoa, Chordata, Mammalia, Artiodactyla, Bovidae.
UCCCUGGUGCCUUAGAUGGUAAAGAAUCCACCUGCAAUGUGGAAGACCUGGGUUUGAUCCCCGGGUUGGGAA